RNAcentral lists this long non-coding RNA (831 nucleotides) under Androctonus crassicauda. The record is from RNAcentral. Lineage: Eukaryota; Metazoa; Arthropoda; Arachnida; Scorpiones; Buthidae.
UGUAUACCAAUAUAUCUGAUUUAAAAAAAAUGGAAUAGUUACUUUAGCCAAUUUUAGACAUCAAAUUUUGUUCUUGUAUAUAAGAGACUGGUUUGCUUUCUGUACUUUUCAGUUACAACAAAUUUCUAUUAUUGUUUUGAUUUUUUUUUUAUUUUAUCAUUUAAACUUUUAUAUUCUUUUUGCUGAGAUUAGGAAAUGAUGGAAACUUGAUAUUUCUCUUGAUAUUUUCUGUCACACCUCAUUACUUUGGCAGUUAUUUUCCAAACCACUGCUGUAAAAAUAAUUUUGCUGUAAAGCAAGCACAACUGUUUUUCAUUUGCUAAUGUAUAUAAAAAGUCAAGUGCUAGCAUCUGACUUAUUGUCUGCGAGAUGGUCACAUUUAAAGCAUUCACAUAUCACAUUGGAGGAUCUAUGUUCAAUUCUGGGUUUUACAAUUUUAAUUUCUCAGGAUAAAAUACAUAUUAACACAGACAGGCCAGACCUGGGUCCCUGUCCCAUCUGUAUUAAUUUGUUUUAUAUAUGUGUUCUAAGUAUUAUUUUGCAGAUAAUUUUCAUUUUGAAAUAUAAAAGUAAAGGCAUAGAUUAUAAUUGAGAAGUGCCAUAUUAGUUAGCCACAAGAUGUGUUUUUACUUUGAUUAGAUUGUAAUAUAGAGAAACACAAAUGGCUAAUGUUCUGUUCUCUCUCUAGCUUUCUGUAUUGUGAUAUUUCAAUGCUAUAAAUCUAGAAUUUUGUCUAAAGGUUAUAUUUAUUCAUUCCAAUAAUGAACUAGAUUUGGAAAAUUUUUAAAAUUAUAAGAGUGUCUAAUACAAAUAAUUCAACAAGCACUUUAU